GCCUCCGUAGUUCAGUGGAAGAACCUCGGAUUGCCAUUCCGAAGACGGUCGGUUCGAUCCCGCCCGGGGGCUCCA
Molecule: transfer RNA, 75 nt
Filed under: Planctomycetota bacterium
Lineage: Bacteria; Pseudomonadati; Planctomycetota
Description: tRNA-Gly
Rfam family: tRNA
About the family: Transfer RNA (tRNA) molecules are approximately 80 nucleotides in length. Their secondary structure includes four short double-helical elements and three loops (D, anti-codon, and T loops). Further hydrogen bonds mediate the characteristic L-shaped molecular structure. tRNAs have two regions of fundamental functional importance: the anti-codon, which is responsible for specific mRNA codon recognition, and the 3' end, to which the tRNAs corresponding amino acid is attached (by aminoacyl-tRNA synthetases). tRNAs cope with the degeneracy of the genetic code in two manners: having more than one tRNA (with a specific anti-codon) for a particular amino acid; and 'wobble' base-pairing, i.e. permitting non-standard base-pairing at the 3rd anti-codon position.
Source: RNAcentral